UACAGAGGUCCCAAGCGUUGUUCGGAUUCAUUGGGCGUAAAGGGUGCGUAGGUGGCGCCGUAAGUCAGGUGUGAAAUUUCGGAGCUUAACUCCGAAACUGCAUUUGAUACUGCGGUGCUUGAGGACUGGAGAGGAGACUGGAAUUUACGGUGUAGCAGUGAAAUGCGUAGAUAUCGUAAGGAAGACCAGUGGCGAAGGCGGGUCUCUGGACAAUUCCUGACACUGAGGCACGAAGGCCAGGGGAGCAAACGGG
This 253-nucleotide ribosomal RNA is filed under the name uncultured bacterium. Its description in RNAcentral is "partial 16S ribosomal RNA". It matches the Rfam family "Bacterial small subunit ribosomal RNA", at positions 524 to 776 of the family's 1533-position model. The record is from RNAcentral.